This 472-nucleotide ribosomal RNA is filed under the name uncultured bacterium. RNAcentral describes it as "partial 16S ribosomal RNA". It matches the Rfam family "Bacterial small subunit ribosomal RNA", at positions 28 to 507 of the family's 1533-position model. The record is from RNAcentral.
GACGAACGCUGGCGGCGUGCUUAACACAUGCAAGUCGAACGCUGAAGCUUGGUGCUUGCACUGGGUGGAUGAGUGGCGAACGGGUGAGUAAUACGUGAGUAACCUGCCCUUGACUCUGGGAUAAGCCUGGGAAACUGGGUCUAAUACUGGAUACGACAUGUCACCGCAUGGUGGUGUGUGGAAAGGGUUUUACUGGUUUUGGAUGGGCUCACGGCCUAUCAGCUUGUUGGUGGGGUAAUGGCUCACCAAGGCGACGACGGGUAGCCGGCCUGAGAGGGUGACCGGCCACACUGGGACUGAGACACGGCCCAGACUCCUACGGGAGGCAGCAGUGGGGAAUAUUGCACAAUGGGCGGAAGCCUGAUGCAGCGACGCCGCGUGAGGGAUGACGGCCUUCGUGUUGUAAACCUCUUUCAGCACGGAAGAAGCGAAAGUGACGGUACGUGCAGAAGAAGCGCCGGCUAACUACGUG